CACAUGCCAUAGGAUGAACCCAAGUGAGAUUAGCUAGUUGGUGGGGUAAUGGCCUACCAAGGCGUCGAUCUCUAGCUGGUCUGAGAGGAUGACCAGUCACACUGGGACUGAGACACGGCCCAGACUCCUACGGGAGGCAGCAGUGGGGAAUAUUGCGCAAUGGGGGCAACCCUGACGCAGCCAUGCCGCGUGAAUGAAGAAGGCCUUCGGGUUGUAAAGUUCUUUCGGUAAUGAGAAAGGGGUGCUGUUUAAUAGACAGCAUCAU
RNAcentral lists this ribosomal RNA (265 nucleotides) under Aggregatibacter aphrophilus. RNAcentral's name for it is "partial 16S ribosomal RNA". It matches the Rfam family "Bacterial small subunit ribosomal RNA", at positions 212 to 473 of the family's 1533-position model. The record is from RNAcentral. Lineage: Bacteria; Pseudomonadati; Pseudomonadota; Gammaproteobacteria; Pasteurellales; Pasteurellaceae.